GGCGUAGUGGUGUAGUGGUUAGCACGUUUGCCUCGCGCCUCCAGGGUCUGGGGUUCGAUUCCCACUGGAGUGA
Molecule: non-coding RNA, 73 nt
Organism: Ameiurus melas (black bullhead)
Lineage: Eukaryota; Metazoa; Chordata; Actinopteri; Siluriformes; Ictaluridae
Source: the annotation of a GenBank genome assembly